Non-coding RNA from Chiloscyllium plagiosum (whitespotted bambooshark), 965 nucleotides. NCBI's taxonomy places the organism in Eukaryota, Metazoa, Chordata, Chondrichthyes, Orectolobiformes, Hemiscylliidae. The record is from RefSeq and is a predicted model, not a curated record.
CUUUUUUCAUUUUUUUUAAAUGCCUCUUCCAUGGUUACACAGCUGGGGGCAGGGUGCUCGAGCCAUAUUCUGUGGAGGGCCAUAUUUGAUUGCCAGUUUUUUUUUCUUUCCUACCCACCAAUUUCAUAUAUUUGUAACUUAUCCACAAACUGUAUAUUCUCAACACCACACUUCUUUUGUAAUUUUCUCCCUUUCCAUCUUCAUUUUAUCCUUUAACUAACAUCAGUAGAAGUUGUGCUGUUUGUGGGAAGUCUACCUUGCAAAAAUUGGCUGCUGCAUUUCCAACAAACUUACACUACACAAGCACUGCCAAUCAUAAUGUUUAUGAUAUCUUCAGGAGAUCACUCAGAAAUCAUCCCUGUACCACCACUCUACAUCAGCCAUCUAGUUUAGCCUCACUGUCCCCAGCUUUUACCAAAAGAGCACUGCAAAUUCUUCAAGUAUAUUUCCAACAGCCUUUUGCAAGUUCUUACAAAGCCACCACCCUUUCUGACGCUAAUAUAAACAAAUCAAGUGCUGGAGCAUCACAGCUGGAUUGAAAGAGCAUUAUAAUGGGACAUGAAACGUUAACUCUUUCCCUUUCCACAAAUGCUGCAGGAGCUAUCGAGUUUCUCCAGUAUAGCGUCUCCAACAUCGGCAAAUUCGAGAUUGAGGCUGUGCCAGAUUUUGAUCUUUGUGGAUUCUGAGUUGGGUGUUCUGGUCAAGCUGAUGUGAAAGGUCGUAAGAGCACAGGAAAGGACUGACGCACAAGCAGCUAAGAGGAUAACUUGCCCGGUACCACACAGUGCACCUAGCCGUAUGGUCCAAUGCUGCCUGACCUGCUGAACAUUCCACAAAAUUCCACAGAGUUUCAAGAUGAGCUGCAUUUUACUUUUGAAAUUAAAGUUAGUUAUGUGCAAAAUUAUGACUGCAAUUCUGAUGUUACAACAAUGUCUAUUUUUCCAAAGCACUUUAGUAAGUUGUGG